Long non-coding RNA from Poecilia latipinna (sailfin molly), 431 nucleotides. RefSeq lists it as uncharacterized. Lineage: Eukaryota; Metazoa; Chordata; Actinopteri; Cyprinodontiformes; Poeciliidae. The record is from RefSeq and is a predicted model, not a curated record. The transcript is spliced from 2 exons.
GAAAAAAGGUCAGUGUUUACAGCCGGGCGGCCCGGUACAACGACGGCCUCGGCAGAAGGAAAGCUAUAUGUCACAUUAUCAGUCAAACGCAAACGUCGGAUCCUGAAUGUGUGUGUUUACUUUGAGACUGCUUUAGCACAAGGCAGCCGAGGGAAUCUGUAAACAGCGCCUUGGUCCUACACAGGAUUCAUGACGUGUAGGAGCUGGAAAGUUUCAACAAACUUUAAAACUAUUCCUAGGAACAGGCUAGAAUGAGGCUCUCGUGGAAUGAUGACCUCGAGAAAGAAAACAAGUGUAACAACAUUGUUUCAGCUAGCUUCCCAGCAGUGUGCAGCAACCGAAGGUUUUAGAAACUUUUUAGAACACAGGCAUACACUGAUGCUUCUAAACUCCUGUUUCAUAUCAUCACUUCUGAUAUGAAACACCCGCCC